Molecule: ribosomal RNA, 450 nt
Filed under: uncultured bacterium
Lineage: Bacteria
Description: partial 16S ribosomal RNA
Rfam family: Bacterial small subunit ribosomal RNA
Source: RNAcentral
GUGGGGAAUUUUGGACAAUGGGCGAAAGCCUGAUCCAGCCAUGCCGCGUGCAGGAUGAAGGCCUUCGGGUUGUAAACUGCUUUUGUACGGAACGAAAAGACUCCUUCUAAUAAAGGGGGUCCAUGACGGUACCGUAAGAAUAAGCACCGGCUAACUACGUGCCAGCAGCCGCGGUAAUACGUAGGGUGCAAGCGUUAAUCGGAAUUACUGGGCGUAAAGCGUGCGCAGGCGGCUUUGCAAGACAGAUGUGAAAUCCCCGGGCUCAACCUGGGAACUGCAUUUGUGACUGCAAGGCUAGAGUACGGCAGAGGUGGAUGGAAUUCCGCGUGUAGCAGUGAAAUGCGUAGAUAUGCGGAGGAACACCAAUGGCGAAGGCAAUCCCCUGGGCCUGUACUGACGCUCAUGCACGAAAGCGUGGGGAGCAAACAGGAUUAGAAACCCGUGUAGUCC